This 492-nucleotide ribosomal RNA is filed under the name uncultured bacterium. Its description in RNAcentral is "partial 16S ribosomal RNA". It matches the Rfam family "Bacterial small subunit ribosomal RNA", at positions 29 to 507 of the family's 1533-position model. The record is from RNAcentral.
AGUGAACGCUGGCGGUAGGCCUAACACAUGCAAGUCGAACGGCAGCACAGUAAGAGCUUGCUCUUACGGGUGGCGAGUGGCGGGCGGGUGAGGAAUACAUCGGAAUCUACUUUUUCGUGGGGGAUAACGUAGGGAAACUUACGCUAAUACCGCAUACGACCUACGGGUGAAAGCAGGGGAUCUUCGGACCUUGCGCGAUUGAAUGAGCCGAUGUCGGAUUAGCUAGUUGGCGGGGUAAAGGCCCACCAAGGCGACGAUCCGUAGCUGGUCUGAGAGGAUGAUCAGCCACACUGGAACUGAGACACGGUCCAGACUCCUACGGGAGGCAGCAGUGGGGAAUAUUGGACAAUGGGCGCAAGCCUGAUCCAGCCAUACCGCGUGGGUGAGGAAGGCCUUCGGGUUGUAAAGCCCUUUUGUUGGGAAAGAAAAGCAGCAGGUUAAUACCCCGCUGUUCUGACGGUACCCAAAGAAUAAGCACCGGCUAACUUCGUG